UAUUAGUAUAAAAAUAUAUUUGAAUAUAUUCGAAAGAGGAGAGGCCGAUCGUGUAACAUCAAAUCGCAUAGGGGUUGAGAGAGUCAUGUCGCAGGAGAGAUGGCACGCGUGCAACGCAGUAUUGUCGACUCGGAUAUAUAUGCCGGGGGUCGGUGGUGACAGAGCCAUGGUGCGCGCCAUCCUCCGGUGACCCGAUUCCCUUGCAAACCUCGAUGUCCGUUGUCAUGUGCCUACAAGAGCCAACGGUCGUCCUGCAAAUACUAUUCCUCGCGCUGUGCGUAUAAAUACAAGCCGCGGCUCACUCUCUCCAUUUGCUCCGGUUGUCCUCUUCGCUCGAGCUCGAGCCGAUAUGUCAAAUAGCCGAUUAAACCCGUACAUCAAAUGAACGAUGAAUCUCCCCUCACUCUGUCAGGCAAUAUCAGUCGAGGAACAUCAAGAACGACGAAGAAUUCAGCUCAGCUCAAUGCCAUUGCCAUUAUUCCCAAUCUUCCUUGAAUCACAGUGAGAGAAGCCGAUCAAUCUCUCUCUCUCUCUCUCUCUCUCUCUCCCCCUCAACCCGCGAAACCUGAGAAGGGAAAUGGACAAAAACCCGGGAUUCAGAACUGGACAAAGACCCAGAAAUGAGAAGGCUUUCAUUCUCAAAUCAAUCCGACAACACAUGCAAUUCUAUGAGAAAAUCCAAUCCAAACAAGAACGCACCAAUCCUCGAGCAAGAACAAUUCCCGGCAUGAUUCAGCUGCUGAUUUUAAUGUUGCAUUUUGUUUGUAAUUAACAUUUUAAAAUCAGAUUUUGAUUUUGAAAAAGAGUUAUAUAAAUGAUUAUGUACGGGAUUUAUCAUUUCACUUUGUAUGAAUUAUUUUGUUUUAUUAUGAAAAAAAGUGGUAUAAAAGAUACCGGCAAGAAAAGAUGCUCCGUGAAGCUAUCUCCUAUCUCCUCUCGCGAGCUGUGACCUGGCAGUUUUGAUCCUCUGCUGCUUCCCGUGCCGCGUGGAUUUGACAUUCCAGUGGGCUUCUAUACGGUUUUCCUGCUGCGAGCGUUGAGGUCUUGCCCUGACAGUGAGGGAAAUAGAGAGGAAGAUAACGAUUGGUGUAUGUGUACUGGAAAAGAAGGCUUUUUCUGCUCCGAUGGGACAGAUACUUGACAGGCUGCAAGCAUUCGGAGAAUUUGAGGUGAAUAUCUUGACUCGUUCGAUCGGUCGGGUUGGGUUGUGUCCCUGUGAUGUGGAUGGCUGAGUUGCUUGAUCAGAUGAUUAGCCUCCGUACUUGAUUCUUCCUGUUUGAUGGGAGCACUUCGUAAAUGCGGCUUAUUCUGUUGCAAAAGCGUAUGAGAAGCUCUAGUGAUAGGCUCACGAACCAGAACUGGGUAAGAAGGAAAGGUGGAGGGUAGAACCAACAUAACUCACUCGAUAAGAUGACUCACCACAAGUAAGAAAAGUCGAAUUGAUUCGCCACGC
Molecule: non-coding RNA, 1453 nt
Organism: Punica granatum (pomegranate)
Lineage: Eukaryota; Viridiplantae; Streptophyta; Magnoliopsida; Myrtales; Lythraceae
Source: RefSeq, a predicted model, not a curated record